RNAcentral lists this ribosomal RNA (253 nucleotides) under uncultured bacterium. Its description in RNAcentral is "partial 16S ribosomal RNA". It matches the Rfam family "Bacterial small subunit ribosomal RNA", at positions 524 to 776 of the family's 1533-position model. The record is from RNAcentral.
UACGAAGGGGGCUAGCGUUGCUCGGAAUUACUGGGCGUAAAGGGCGCGUAGGCGGUUGUCUAAGUCAGAGGUAAAAGCCCAGGGCUCAACCUUGGAACUGCCUUUGAUACUGGACAUCUUGAGUACGGGAGAGGUGAGUGGAACUCCGAGUGUAGAGGUGAAACUCGUAGAUAUUCGAAAGAACACCAGUGGCGAAGGCGACUCACUGGCCCGUUACUGACGCUGUGGCGCGAAAGCGUGGGGAGCAAACAGG